This 283-nucleotide long non-coding RNA is filed under the name Gossypium barbadense (sea-island cotton). Its description in RNAcentral is "long non-coding RNA (GBAR_LNC016923)". Lineage: Eukaryota; Viridiplantae; Streptophyta; Magnoliopsida; Malvales; Malvaceae. The record is from RNAcentral.
UAAUUAUAGCUCGAGUUACAGAACUCGAAAUUUAAAUCCAUAAAUUUUCCCUGAAACUAGACUCAUAUUCCUAAUUACCAUAAAAUUUUUAGAAUUUUUGGUUUAUCCAAUUAGUACAGUUUAUUCAUUGAAGUCUCCCAUGUUUCACUACUUAACAGUUCUGACCUCUUAACACUAAAAAUCAAUUAUCAUUGUACAGAAUUCAUAUAAGGUUAUAAUUUAUUUCUUUUGAAAAUAGACUCACUAAGAAAUAUAUACAUAUAAAUUUUAGCUUAUAAUUCUC